RNAcentral lists this ribosomal RNA (433 nucleotides) under uncultured bacterium. Its description in RNAcentral is "partial 16S ribosomal RNA". It matches the Rfam family "Bacterial small subunit ribosomal RNA", at positions 29 to 507 of the family's 1533-position model. The record is from RNAcentral.
AGCGAACGCUGGCGGCAGGCCUAACACAUGCAAGUCGAACGAACUCUUCGGAGUUAGUGGCGGACGGGUGAGUAACACGUGGGAACGUGCCUUUAGGUUCGGAAUAACUCAGGGAAACUUGUGCUAAUACCGAAUGUGCCCUUCGGGGGAAAGAUUUAUCGCCUUUAGAGCGGCCCGCGUCUGAUUAGCUAGUUGGUGAGGUAAAGGCUCACCAAGGCGACGAUCAGUAGCUGGUCUGAGAGGAUGAUCAGCCACAUUGGGACUGAGACACGGCCCAAACUCCUACGGGAGGCAGCAGUGGGGAAUCUUGCGCAAUGGGCGAAAGCAUGACGCAGCCAUGCCGCGUGAAUGAUGAAGGUCUUAGGAUUGUAAAAUUCUUUCAACGGGGACGAUAAUGACGGUACCCGGAGAAGAAGCCCCGGCUAACUUCGUG